Molecule: ribosomal RNA, 480 nt
Filed under: uncultured bacterium
Lineage: Bacteria
Description: bacterial SSU rRNA
Rfam family: Bacterial small subunit ribosomal RNA
Source: RNAcentral
ACGCUGGCGGCGUGCUUAACACAUGCAAGUCUACGAGAACGAGGUAGCAAUAUCUCUAUUAAAGUGGCGCACGGGUGCGUAACACGUAAGCAAUCUACCUUUGGGUCUGGAAUAACUUCGAGAAAUCGAGGCUAAUACCGGAUAAUGCAGCGGCAUCGCAUGGUGAUGUUGUUAAGGUUUAAGUAAUGCCUAUAGAUGAGCUUGCGUCUGAUUAGCUAGUUGGUAGGGUAAAAGCCUACCAAGGCUACGAUCAGUAGCUGGUCUGAGAGGAUGAUCAGCCACACUGGAACUGAGACACGGUCCAGACUCCUACGGGAGGCAGCAGUGAGGAAUAUUGGGCAAUGCCCGCAAGGGUGACCCAGCAACGCCGCGUGGAGGAUGAAGGCCGUAAGGUUGUAAACUCCUGUUAGAGGAGAAGAACAGUACCGAUUGGAUCGGUAUUUGACUGUACCCUCAGAGAAAGCCCCGGCUAACUACGUG